This is a transfer RNA of 112 nucleotides. It matches the Rfam family "tRNA". From Rfam's summary of the family: Transfer RNA (tRNA) molecules are approximately 80 nucleotides in length. Their secondary structure includes four short double-helical elements and three loops (D, anti-codon, and T loops). The record is from Rfam.
GGCAAGAUGGCCGAGUUGGUCUAAGGCGCUAGCUUCAGGAUUCAUCGUUUCAAACGACGAGUUCCGCAUGCUAGUCUCGCAAGAGGCGUGGGUUCGAAUCCCACUCUUGUCA